AGCAGCCGCCACGGUAAUACGAAGGGGGCUAGCGUUGCUCGGAAUGACUGGGCGUAAAGGGCGCGUAGGCGGCGGCCAAAGUCAGGCGUGAAAUUCCCGGGCUCAACCUGGGGGCUGCGUUUGGUACUUGGUUGCUUGAGUGGGGAAGAGGGUCGUGGAAUUCCCAGUGUAGAGGUGAAAUUCGUAGAGAUGUGGAGGAACACCAGUGGCGAAGGCGACUCUCUGGUCUGUAACUGACGCUGAGGAGCGAAAGCGUGGGGAGCGAGCAGGAUUAGAGACCCGCGUAGUCCCUGUCUCUUAUAC
RNAcentral lists this ribosomal RNA (303 nucleotides) under uncultured bacterium. RNAcentral's name for it is "partial 16S ribosomal RNA". It matches the Rfam family "Bacterial small subunit ribosomal RNA", at positions 507 to 807 of the family's 1533-position model. The record is from RNAcentral.